Molecule: ribosomal RNA, 902 nt
Filed under: uncultured bacterium
Lineage: Bacteria
Description: bacterial SSU rRNA
Rfam family: Bacterial small subunit ribosomal RNA
Source: RNAcentral
UGCAAGUCGACGGAUACUUUCGAGUAUUAGUGGCGAACGGUCGCGUAACACGUAGGCAACCUGCCCAAAAGUGGGGGACAACAGCUUGAAAGAGCUGCUAAUACCGCAUGUGGCUUCAUUGUGGCAUCACUUUGAAUCUAAAGCUUAAUGCGCUUUUGGAUGGGCUUGCGGCCUAUCAGGUAGUUGGUGGGGUAAUGGCCUACCAAGCCGACGACGGGUAGCUGGUCUGAGAGGACGAUCAGCCGGAUUGGGACUGAGAUACGGCCCAGACUCCUACGGGGGGCAGCAAUUAGGAAUCUUGCGCAAUGGGGGCAACCCUGACGCAGCGACGCCGCGUGCGGGAUGAAGGCAUUCGUGUCGUAAACCGCUUUUUACGGGGAAGAAGAAUUUGACGGUACCCGUCGAAUAAGCCCCGGCUAACUACGUGCCAGCAGCCGCGGUAAUACGUAGGGGGCGAGCGUUGUCCGAAGUUACUGGGCGUAAAGCGCGCGUAGGCGGCCAUUUAAGUUCGGGGUGAAAGGUUCAACGCUCAACGUGAACAGUGCCUUGAAUACUGGGUGGCUUGAGUUCGGGAGAGGGCAGUGGAAUUCCUGGUGUAGCGGUGAAAUGCGUAGAUAUCAGGAGGAACACCGAUGGCGAAGGCAGCUGCCUGGCCUAGAACUGACGCUGAGGUGCGAAAGCGUGGGGAGCGAACAGGAUUAGAUACCCUGGUAGUCCACGCCGUAAACGAUGAGUGCUAGGUGUUCGGGGUAUCGACCCCCCGGGUGCCGCCGCUAACGCAGUAAGCACUCCGCCUGGGGAGUACGGCCGCAAGGUUGAAACUCAAAGGAAUUGACGGGGGCCCGCACAAGCGGUGGAGCAUGGUGGAUUAAUUCGUCACUAACCGAAGAAUCUUACCCAGG